UAAUUAAUCAUUUAUUUUUAAACGUUAUGUAAGUCUAUUUUAAUUGUAAGAAUCCAUGUGCUAUUUUAUUUAAAGCUAACUUAUAGGUGAAUAUUUACACAAUAUUGUUGUUAUGUUGUAAAUAAAACAUAUUAUAUUCCCUCCAGCCUGUGCAGGGUAUUUCUAAAGUGAUAAUUUUCUCAUGCAGGCCAAUACCACUCUUUUGUUAUCUAAGAUGUAUAUUUCAAGAAGAAAUGAUGCUUUCUUAUUUCUAAGAGUUUAUCAAUAGGAUGAAUGCCACAAAACUCACUUGUUAUGACAGAAACUCUUCCUACGAAACUUCCAUACUAGAAUUUGUCCAGUGCCUGUGAUCCUCUGAGUUGAAGGAGAAUGUGCUCCAUAAUACCUACUAGGAGCUUGCUGAUAGCUGGAAGUUCAUGAAUACUAUGUUGUCCUUGAUUUGAUGAUUCUGAAAACUACCAUUUC
This is a long non-coding RNA of Biomphalaria glabrata, 465 nucleotides long. RefSeq lists it as uncharacterized. The transcript has 3 exons. NCBI's taxonomy places the organism in Eukaryota, Metazoa, Mollusca, Gastropoda, Planorbidae. The record is from RefSeq and is a predicted model, not a curated record.